This 123-nucleotide non-coding RNA is filed under the name Methanobrevibacter smithii. RNAcentral's name for it is "FMN riboswitch (RFN element)". It matches the Rfam family "FMN riboswitch aptamer (RFN element)". Rfam says of the family: The RFN element is a highly conserved domain that is found frequently in the 5'-untranslated regions of prokaryotic mRNAs that encode for flavin mononucleotide (FMN) biosynthesis and transport proteins. This element is a metabolite-dependent riboswitch that directly binds FMN in the absence of proteins. Lineage: Archaea; Methanobacteriati; Methanobacteriota; Methanobacteria; Methanobacteriales; Methanobacteriaceae. The record is from RNAcentral.
AUUCUCAGGGCGGAGUGAAAUUCUCCACCGGUGGUGUUUCUAAAUAGAUAAGUCCACGAGCACAUCUUGUGUUGAUUUGGUUAGAGUCCAAAACCGACGGUUAUAGUCCGGAUGGAAGAGAAU